GAGGGGUUAAAAUCCUCCGCCGCGCAAGCCGAUCUGUCAUGUGGUAAUUCGAUAAUUAGAGUCAAAAAGGUUUUUUUUUUUUUUAAGGCGACCUUUCUCCAGGACAAUUUCUCUUUCUCUACACGCAGCAAACAGUGCGUCUCUAUUUUUUUUUUCCUCCUCUCUCCACCUCUCGCCCACCCCCUCCUGUGUUUAGUCAGAUGGCCUCGGAGCUUGGCUUAGUAUUUUUAAUUAGCUGGCGUUUGGAAGCUAAAAGCAGUAAUGAAUUGUUGAUGGAUUGGAAGUGGAGAGUCGCUUUGCUGGAAAUGUCGGGGCUGGGAGAGGGGGAUGGGCGCGUUAGCAACACCAACCAUCUAAAAGGAGCGGUUUUGUUACAGUGCAAGCCUUUCACAUCACGUGAGGAUCAAGGGCUCAAUUGGUUGUCGUGAGAACAAAAAUGGUGACAAGCGUAUCAAGAAAAUACUGAUCUGGUCUUUUAAAAAAAAAAAAGCUGAAGGUUUCUCCCUUCCCCCUGCAACCCCCUCUCCCCCCGCACGCCCUACAGUGGGCGAAGCUACAAGUUAUGAAUGUGAAACAUUUCUCAGCCAUCUCGGAAGUUCGGAAGGAGGGAAAUGUAAUGGCCACAAGAGCAAAGCAGAUGUUUUAAAGAAACAGCUUAUAAACCUUUCCUCAACUGAUCUCCAAUUUGUCGGCUUUCCCAAGGGGCCAAAGCGGAGGACGCCUGGGGGGAGGGCAGAGUACCUCGGAGCUGCUGGGAUUUUAGGAAACACCCCCCCACCAUGUAUUAAACAAAGAAAAACAUUUUGCUAGCUCCCAAACAGGGACUUGUAAUAAACACACCAUUGUUACUAUUUGUGGGUUUGUUUGGGUUGGGUGGGGCUCCCCCCCACACACACACCUUCUCUUAAUGUUUUUUUUUCUUCUUGCCCCCCCCCCUUUUUUAAGAAGGUGGAAAAUGGUAGUUACAGUCAUUACAUGUAAUGGAUGAAUAUUCCCUAGUUUACUAUUAAAUUACUGAGCAGGGGGAUG
RNAcentral lists this long non-coding RNA (1029 nucleotides) under Rattus norvegicus (Norway rat). RNAcentral describes it as "long non-coding RNA NONRATT013445". The record is from RNAcentral. Lineage: Eukaryota; Metazoa; Chordata; Mammalia; Rodentia; Muridae.